GUCCACGCUGUAAACGAUGUCAACUAGCCGUUGGGAACCCUAGUGUUCUCGGUGGCGUAGCUAACGCGAUAAGUUGACCGCCUGGGGAGUACGGUCGCAAGAUUAAAACUCAAAUGAAUUGACGGGGCCCGCACAAGCGGUGGAGCAUGUGGUUUAAUUCGACGCAACGCGAAGAACCUUACCAGGUCUUGACAUCCAGAGAAGUCGCUAGAGAUAGCUUCGUGCCUUCGGGAACUCUGAGACAGGUGCUGCAUGGCUGUCGU
Molecule: ribosomal RNA, 263 nt
Filed under: uncultured bacterium
Lineage: Bacteria
Description: partial 16S ribosomal RNA
Rfam family: Bacterial small subunit ribosomal RNA
Source: RNAcentral